Small nucleolar RNA from Dipodomys ordii (Ord's kangaroo rat), 122 nucleotides. Lineage: Eukaryota; Metazoa; Chordata; Mammalia; Rodentia; Heteromyidae. The record is from Ensembl.
UGUGUAUGUGUGUGUCUUUGUUUAAUUUGUAACAAAGCCUUACAGACAGGUGCAAACAAUAAAUCCUCUUUUGCAACCUAGAACUCAGAUACGAGAUUUUGGUACAUGGAAUAAGAAAUAUG